RNAcentral lists this ribosomal RNA (307 nucleotides) under uncultured bacterium. RNAcentral describes it as "partial 16S ribosomal RNA". It matches the Rfam family "Bacterial small subunit ribosomal RNA", at positions 506 to 807 of the family's 1533-position model. The record is from RNAcentral.
AGACAGCAGUAGCCACGGUAAAACGUAGGGUGCAAGCGUUAAUCGGAAUUACUGGGCGUAAAGCGUGCGCAGGCGGUUAUAUAAGACAGAUGUGAAAUCCCCGGGCUCAACCUGGGAACUGCAUUUGUGACUGUAUAGCUAGAGUACGGCAGAGGGGGAUGGAAUUCCGCGUGUAGCAGUGAAAUGCGUAGAUAUGCGGAGGAACACCGAUGGCGAAGGCAAUCCCCUGGGCCUGUACUGACGCUCAUGCACGAAAGCGUGGGGAGCAAACAGGAUUAGAUACCCCGGUAGUCCCUGUCUCUUAUAC